CUGUUCUAGUAAUCACGAACCUUUCCAGAGAUCAAGAAUGCUAAUCUGUUUGUUGGAAGAAAAAAAGAGACUUCUCAUUCAGGGGAUGGAUGCUGUGAGUGAACGAGCCUCUCAGAGCCUGCACACCUGUGGAUGAGGGGCUAAUUAAAGUUCUUUGAACACAAAAAGCCGAGAAGAAGACCUAGGCUUGGGAUCAUGUCCCCUUCCAACAAGGAGGUCAGCAGGAACUUUCACCCGGGAGCGUAAUCCGCUUGUCUGCUGACAUGGUGCUGGGUGGGCACGCGGGGCGGUGCCACAAAGGGGCAAGUUCGUGUGUGGGUGCACUUUGUUAGCUCAUAGAAAUACAAUGUAUGUGACUGUCUGCUCAUAAAUUAUCCACCUAGUAUAUAUGACUUUAUAAAAUGUUUUUUGCUCAUGUUUGGUUUACUCAAUACUUUUUGAUUAAAAAAUUCUAAAGCUGUGAUCUA
This is a non-coding RNA of Microcebus murinus (gray mouse lemur), 467 nucleotides long. The record is from RefSeq and is a predicted model, not a curated record. NCBI's taxonomy places the organism in Eukaryota, Metazoa, Chordata, Mammalia, Primates, Cheirogaleidae.